Molecule: RNA transcript, 3377 nt
Organism: Erinaceus europaeus (western European hedgehog)
Lineage: Eukaryota; Metazoa; Chordata; Mammalia; Eulipotyphla; Erinaceidae
Gene: PRPF3
Gene name: pre-mRNA processing factor 3
Exons: 14
Source: RefSeq, a predicted model, not a curated record
UCUACAUAGUCACAUGUUGGGGACCCGCGGCGUGGCGGCGGCAGUGGCGGUAACGACGGCAGGCCGUAGGGCGGCUAGAGGGUUUCCGGUUCCGGUGUAACGUUCGAGCUCCGUCUCUGGGGUUCAAGUUUGUGAGGUUCAGUAUUGGUCCCCAAUUGAACAGUCCUUUUCUGAAGAAUGGCACUAUCUAAAAGGGAACUGGAUGAGCUGAAACCAUGGAUAGAAAAGACAGUGAAGAGAGUACUGGGUUUCUCAGAACCCACAGUGGUCACAGCAGCACUGAACUGCGUGGGGAAGGGCAUGGACAAGAAGAAGGCAGCUGACCAUCUGAAACCUUUUCUUGAUGAUUCUACUCUUCGAUUUGUGGACAAACUGUUUGAAGCUGUGGAGGAAGGUCGAAGUUCUAGACAUUCCAAAUCUAGCAGUGACAGGAGCAGAAAACGAGAACUAAAGGAAGUAUUUGGUGAUGACUCUGAGAUUGCCAAGGAAUCAUCAGGAGUAAAGAAGAGACGGAUACCACGUUUUGAGGAGGUAGAAGAGGAGCCAGAAGUGAUCCCUGGUCCUCCAUCAGAAAGUCCUGGUAUGCUGACUAAACUUCAGAUCAAGCAGAUGAUGGAGGCAGCCACGCGGCAAAUCGAGGAGAGGAAAAAGCAGCUGAGCUUCAUUAGUCCCCCUACACCUCAGGCAAAGACUCCCUCUUCCUCCCAGCCAGAGCGACUUCCAAUUGGCAACACCAUUCAGCCUUCCCAGGCUGCCACUUUCAUGAAUGACGCCAUUGAGAAGGCAAGGAAAGCAGCUGAGUUACAAGCCCGUAUCCAAGCCCAGCUGGCACUGAAGCCAGGACUCAUUGGCAAUGCCAACAUGGUGGGCCUGGCCAACCUCCAUGCCAUGGGCAUUGCUCCUCCGAAGGUGGAGUUAAAAGAUCAAACCAAACCUACACCACUGAUCCUCGAUGAGCAAGGUCGCACUGUAGAUGCAACAGGAAAGGAGAUUGAGCUGACACAUCGCAUGCCCACUCUGAAAGCCAAUAUCCGUGCUGUGAAGAGAGAACAAUUCAAACAACAGCUAAAAGAAAAGCCAUCAGAAGACAUGGAAUCUAAUACCUUUUUUGACCCUCGAGUUUCUAUUGCCCCUUCCCAGCGCCAGAGACGUACUUUUAAAUUCCAUGAUAAGGGCAAAUUUGAGAAAAUUGCCCAACGUUUACGGACAAAGGCUCAGCUGGAGAAGCUACAGGCAGAAAUUUCACAGGCAGCUCGAAAAACAGGCAUCCACACUACCACUAGACUAGCCCUCAUUGCUCCAAAGAAGGAGUUAAAGGAAGGCGAUAUCCCUGAAAUUGAGUGGUGGGACUCUUACAUUAUCCCCAAUGGUUUCGACCUUACAGAGGAAAAUCCCAAGAGAGAAGAUUAUUUUGGAAUCACAAAUCUUGUUGAACAUCCAGCCCAACUCAACCCCCCAGUUGAUAAUGACACACCAGUUACUCUGGGGGUCUAUCUUACCAAGAAGGAACAGAAGAAACUUCGGAGACAAACAAGGAGGGAAGCACAGAAAGAACUACAAGAAAAAGUCAGGCUGGGCCUGAUGCCUCCUCCAGAACCCAAAGUGAGAAUUUCGAAUUUGAUGCGAGUGCUAGGAACAGAAGCUGUUCAAGAUCCCACGAAGGUAGAAGCCCAUGUCAGAGCUCAGAUGGCAAAAAGACAGAAAGCGCAUGAAGAGGCCAACGCUGCCCGAAAACUUACAGCAGAACAGAGAAAGGUCAAGAAAAUUAAAAAGCUUAAAGAAGACAUUUCACAGGGGGUACACAUAUCUGUAUAUAGGGACAGAAUCACAGUGGCCUAAAAGCAUACUUUACAUCAGCCUCAAUACUCUUACUAGUAUGAAUCAGGAAUUAGUAAAUCUUUUACAGUGGUGAGUGUUAAGAUGUAUUCUAGCUUCAAAGUCUUCUUAAUGAACUAGUUGUUAAGAAUGAAUGAAUAUUUGUUCAGGCCAAGAUGUAAACAAAGUACUAUUUAUUCUUUGUAUAGCAUAAAAUAUCUCAUUUCUUUCAGAAGCAUUAAAAUGUACUUUCUAAUAGGUUUGGAGGGGGGGAAAAUGUACGUUCUCAGUAACAACGUUCUGAUAAAUUGCAGUAAUCCUUACAUUUCAACUCUAAAAUGCACCUUAUAUACGGGGGGGGGACGGACACUUUUCCCCAGAGUGCUGCUUAGCUCUGGUUUAUGGUGGUACUAGGGACUGAACCUGAGACUCUUGAUCUAGUAUGAAAGUCUGUUUGCAUAAUCAUUAUACUAUCAUCUCCAGCCACAUUGUAAAUACUUUCUUUUUCUAUGAUUUCACUUUAUACUUUUAUGUUAAAUUACAUAUGUAACUUUUUUAAAAUUUAGCUUCAUUGGCUAGAGACCGCCAGAAAUUGAGAGGGAAAGGGGAGAUAGAUAGGGAGAGCGAAAAAGACACCUACAGCACUGCUUCACCACUUGUAAAGCUUUCCCUCUAGUGGUGGGGACUGGGGGCUCGAACCCUUGUCCUUGGGCAUUAUAACGUGUGCCACCACCCAGCCCCCUGUAACUUUUUUCUUUAAUUUUUAUUUACCAGAGUACUGCUCAGCUCUGACUUGUGAUUUUGGGGACUAAGACCACCAGUACCUUAAGCAUAAAAGUUUGUUGUGCUACUUACUGGUGGCACUAUCUUCUCAAUUCAGAUCUUCUCUUUUUUUAAGUGUACUCAUAUAUAGGAGCGUAGUACCGUCUUGCUGCUUAGCUCAUUACUGUAAAAAAUGAUACAUUAUAUAUUAUAAAAGUAAAAAUUUAAUGUUUUUAAACUCGGACACUUCAGAAGGUAAUUUACUGGAAAAGUCUUUCCUAUUCUUAGAUCUCUUAGAACUACUCACUAUAGGUAGAUUUAGGAAAACAAAGACUAUGUUGAUCUUUAUGUUGUCAAGAAGUACUAGCUUAGAAAUAUCUCUGGAUAGUGAUAAUUAUUUACCCUUCAUUUUUAGAAAGGUUUUGAUUACCAGCUAUUUGUAGUAAGGUAUACACUCUUCACUCUAAAGAAGUACUAGAUGGUAGAAAUACUUUGUCUCAUCAACUACCUUUUAAGGAUUAGUAUGUUUGCUUACUACAAAGGCCUUUGUUUUUUAGAGACUAAACCAUUUUGGAUUCAUUUGUUUCCCAUUCCAUUCAGGCAGCUGCCAGUGCUAAAAUGAAAGCUGUAACUAAACUUUCCCUUCUCCAGAGUUCGAAAUUUGAGCAACCCCGCCAAGAAGUUCAAGAUUGAGGCCAAUGCGGGGCAACUGUACCUGACAGGGGUGGUGGUACUGCACAAGGAUGUCAACGUGGUAGUAGUGGAAGGGGGCCCCAAGUCCCAGAAGAAAUUUAAACGCC